UGUUGCGUUUUCUCUCGUUCUUCUCAAAACCCUAUUUUUCGAAAUAUCUUUCAAACCCAACAUAAUUCCUGGUCGCCGCUCUAGUUCAAGCCUCAACAAUUUCCCAGAAUUAUUCCAGUCUACCACUCCAGUUCUUGAUGCUCGUCUUUGUUCAUUCAUUUUCAUUACAAGGUCGUCGUUUCUUUUCUUUUCUCUUCUCUCUUUGUUUUUAAUUUUUCAGUUUUGAUGUUUAAUUUUCCUGCUCUUCUUUUCUCUUAUCGGUCUAAACUAUCCAUCAAUUUUUUAAGGUUAAAGACGAUUGCUGAUUACAGCUAACCUAGAAACUUUAAUUGAAACUCAAAUUUCAAAAGUUACGAGGUAAUAACUUGUUAUUAUGUUCAUCAACUUCUUUGUUUUUGUUUAAGAAAUUCAAUUUGUUGUUCCGUUAUUUAUUUUUCUACUUGUUGUGGUUAAUUAGUUAUUUCUCCAUCCGUAUGUGCUCCAUUUUGAGUUAACAGUGUAGAUUUUUUGGGGAAUUUCAGAGUUUUCUCAAUUAAACGUUUGGGUUUUAGGGUAUAUGUAAUAAUUUUCUGAAAGUAAAUCCAAUUAGCACUUCAAUUAAGUUUCGAACUUUUGAUUUGGAAACUGUUUUGUUUUUGUGUUUUUAAUUAAUUUACGCUCCUCCAAGGAUAAGAUUAAGGUCUAAUACCGAGUAUUGGUUUGAAUGGUAUGGUAGUUUGUCCUCAAAACCAAGUCAAUCAAUCCGCAAUUCUGGUCAUAGCAUCAAAUUUAGUUCUUAAUUCUUUUUCUUUCUACCUAUACAAAAUCCAAAGUAGGGAGCUUUCGUUUUUCAUUAAUAGAUUAGAAUGACCUAUAAAAAUAAACAGUUAGGUUUAGUAAAUUUUGAUAAUCAGGGGAAUUCCAAGAAUUGAGCCUAGAACCAAGUGCCCUUUUGUUUUCUCUUGCACUACUACAAAAGGCGUGAUUUUUCGAUGCAGGGAGCUCGGCGCUUAGGCAUUAGCGUUGGGUGGGAAAUGGAGUUUCCGCCUUUUCUUGUCGCCUUUUGGCGUCGAGUUUUUCUUCGACUUCUUUCAGCGUCAAGAUUGCACCUGCCUUGCACGUGUGUUUUCUUGUAUAUUGAUGUACGCGAUUUACCCUUAAAAAAUUACACUGCUUCCUAACUCCUAGCAGAAACCCUAGAAAAAUCGCCUCACUCGAUCUACAAACUGUUCUGCUAUUCCAAUGCUAAACUCGGCGAACAACUUCUCUACUUCAUCCUCUCUUCUCUCAGAGGUCCUUCUCAAUCUGCUAAGCGUUUCUUUCUCAUUAAUUAGUCUUCUUAAGUUUGAUGUUUUUUCAGUUAGUUAGUUCUUGAUUUUGCUGAUUUUUUUUGUUCUUAUGAUUUUUAUGAUUUAAGUUUGAGUAGGAUUCUGAUAUGGUUUGACCGAUUUUCGAUUAUGCUCAGUCUCUUGAUUUCCAAAAGGUGAUUAUUGUUUUUACUUUGCUGAUUGUUUGAAUUUUUUGAGGUAGUUCCUCGUCCAUCUUUUACUUUGGUUGUUGUGAAUUGUUUUACAGGUUGUGCAAGGGAUUAUUAGUGAGCUUGAAUCGCAAGGUGCACUUCCGAGGAGUAAUUCAAGGAUUUUAUCUCUUGCAAUAUUUUGUGUACCCAGGUCUUGCUUUUGGUACAUGGUUGAGGCUAGUGGUUGUGAUAAGUGAUAAGGAAUGGUCAGAGCUUGGAAUAGCCUAAAACCGGGCGCUCGUUGCCUAAAUGCACACUUAACUUCUCGUUGCGUCAUAUUUAUUGUCGUUCCACCAAUUAGUUGUACAUGGUGCUGAGGUGGGAAAAUGAUAUGAUUAUUGAAAUGACAUUCUUUGUAGAGGAUCAGACUCACAACUUGGAAAGUUGCUCGGUUAGGAAUAUGUAAGAAUGUGUUAUAGGUUGGAAAUCUUUUGAUCAAGCUUUGUCCUCAAGAUCAAACAACAAUGUAAAUUAACUAUAUAUUAUUUUUAAUGCAAGA
Long non-coding RNA from Spinacia oleracea (spinach), 1997 nucleotides. RefSeq lists it as uncharacterized. NCBI's taxonomy places the organism in Eukaryota, Viridiplantae, Streptophyta, Magnoliopsida, Caryophyllales, Amaranthaceae. The transcript is spliced from 3 exons. The record is from RefSeq and is a predicted model, not a curated record.